UAUGUGAUCGUCUCUCGCAUAUCAAUAAGCGGAGGAAAAGAAACUAACAAGGAUUCCCCUAGUAACGGCGAGUGAAGCGGGAAGAGCUCAAAUUUGAAAUCUUAAAGGGUUUCCCUUUACGAAUUGUAGUUUAAAGAAGUGUUUUCUGUUGAGGUUUUGGUAAAAGUUCUUUGGAAUAGGACAUCAUAGAGGGUGAGAAUCCCGUAUUUGACCUUUACUUUCAACUUUGUGAUACACUUUCAAAGAGUCGGAUUGUUUGGGAAUGCAGUCCAAAAUGGGUGGUAAAUUUCAUCUAAAGCUAAAUAUUGGCGAGAGACCGAUAGCGAACAAGUACCGUGAGGGAAAGAUGAAAAGAACUUUGAAAAGAGAGUUAAGACAGUACGUGAAAUUGUCAAAAGGGAAGCGUUUGACACCAGUGUUGUUUUUCUGAAAAUCAAUUAAAGAACUGUUUAUGCUAAGUUGUUUAGACCUUAUAUCAGCUAAUCUGUUUAGUUUUGAGCUUUUCUUUAAUGCACUUUUCAGUUAACAAGUCAACAUCAAUUUCUUUUGCUGUAAAAAAGCUUGAGGAAGGUGGCUUGAGAUUCGUCCUUAAGUGUUUAUAGCCUCUUGCCUAUGCAGUCGGAGAGAUUGAGGUCUGCAGCGUAGAUCCUUCGGGGCUAAAUGCAUUUGUGCUAAGUUAUAGCAUUUUAUAGACAACUUGUUGACUAUGAUUUGUCUUGUAGCUUACUCGCUUAUGUUAUUUUACCUACGCUUAGGAUGUUGAGUAGCGACAUACGCAC
RNAcentral lists this ribosomal RNA (779 nucleotides) under uncultured Neocallimastigales. Its description in RNAcentral is "partial large subunit ribosomal RNA". It matches the Rfam family "Eukaryotic large subunit ribosomal RNA", at positions 24 to 649 of the family's 3401-position model. The record is from RNAcentral. Lineage: Eukaryota; Fungi; Neocallimastigomycota; Neocallimastigomycetes; Neocallimastigales.